GGCAUGUGCACGCUCUGUUCACACAUCCACUCACACCCUGUGCACCCUCUGUAGUUCUAUGGUCGGGGGGCUUGUCCCUCCUGCUGUGGUUCUGCUUCUUUACACACACACUGUAACAAGUCUCAUGGAAUGCAUGCCGCGUUUAACGCAAUACAAUACAACUUUCAGCAACGGAUCUCUUGGCUCUCGCAUCGAUGAAGAACGCAGCGAAAUGCGAUAAGUAAUGUGAAUUGCAGAAUUCAGUGAAUCAUCGAAUCUUUGAACGCACCUUGCGCCCUUUGGCCAUUCCGAAGGGCAUGCCUGUUUGAGUAUCAUGAACACCUCAACUCUUCAUGGUUUUCCGUGAUGAGCUUGGAUUUUGGGGGUUUUGCUGGCCUAUGGUUGGCUCCUCUAAAAUGAAAUCAGCUUGCCAGUGUUUGGUGGGCAUCACAGGUGUGAUAAAGUAUCUACGCUUGUGGGUUUUCCACCAGUCAACCUUUCAGCAGUGGGGGGUUCACUGGAGCUCACAGAUGUCUCU
RNAcentral lists this ribosomal RNA (517 nucleotides) under uncultured Tomentella. RNAcentral's name for it is "eukaryotic LSU rRNA". The stretch from base 160 to 314 matches the Rfam family "5.8S ribosomal RNA". Lineage: Eukaryota; Fungi; Basidiomycota; Agaricomycetes; Thelephorales; Thelephoraceae. The record is from RNAcentral.